Molecule: ribosomal RNA, 253 nt
Filed under: uncultured bacterium
Lineage: Bacteria
Description: partial 16S ribosomal RNA
Rfam family: Bacterial small subunit ribosomal RNA
Source: RNAcentral
UACGUAGGGGGCAAGCGUUGUCCGGAAUUAUUGGGCGUAAAGAGCGCGUAGGCGGUCCGAUAAGUCGGCUGUGAAAGUCAAGGGCUCAACCCUUGGAAGCCGGCCGAUACUGUCGGACUAGAGUCCGGAAGAGGCGAGUGGAAUUCCCGGUGUAGCGGUGAAAUGCGCAGAUAUCGGGAGGAACACCAAUUGCGAAGGCAGCUCGCUGGGACGGUACUGACGCUGAGACGCGAAAGCGUGGGGAGCGAACAGG